AAAAUGACUCUCGGCAACGGAUAUCUAGGCUCUCGCAUCGAUGAAGAACGUAGCGAAAUGCGAUACUUGGUGUGAAUUGCAGAAUCCCGCGAAUCAUCGAGUUUUUGAACGCAAGUUGCGCCCGAAGCCUUCCGGCCGAGGGCACGUCUGCCUGGGUGUCACGC
Molecule: ribosomal RNA, 164 nt
Filed under: Quercus suber
Lineage: Eukaryota; Viridiplantae; Streptophyta; Magnoliopsida; Fagales; Fagaceae
Description: 5.8S ribosomal RNA
Rfam family: 5.8S ribosomal RNA
About the family: 5.8S ribosomal RNA (5.8S rRNA) is a component of the large subunit of the eukaryotic ribosome. It is transcribed by RNA polymerase I as part of the 45S precursor that also contains 18S and 28S rRNA.
Source: RNAcentral